Phrynosoma platyrhinos (Desert horned lizard) is the source of this 69-nucleotide non-coding RNA. Lineage: Eukaryota; Metazoa; Chordata; Lepidosauria; Squamata; Phrynosomatidae. The record is from the annotation of a GenBank genome assembly.
AGCAUGAUGUAGUGGUUUGAGUGCUAGACUAUCACUCUGGAGGCUAGGGUUCCAUUCCCUGCCAUGAAA